Acanthopagrus latus (yellowfin seabream) is the source of this 882-nucleotide long non-coding RNA. RefSeq lists it as uncharacterized. NCBI's taxonomy places the organism in Eukaryota, Metazoa, Chordata, Actinopteri, Spariformes, Sparidae. The transcript has 4 exons. The record is from RefSeq and is a predicted model, not a curated record.
CUCUGCAAACCUCCACAAAUUCACAAAGAAAUGUCCAUAAAUACACGCAAAACCUCCACAAAUACACUCAAACCUCCACAAAUAAACAAAAAACGCACAAAUAGGCACAAAACCUGCACAAAGAGAUGUGAAACUACCACUGCUCUUCUUUCUCAUCUUGCAGGUGAUGGACGGUUGACAGGACGAAUCACCAAGACGAGCCAAACAAUGGAGAGGGGCCGCCACAGGAGCCUGAAGGGAAGGUAAUGAGAGCAGCCAGGAGCUGAAAGCGGGGGCAGAGGAACAGACUGCUGAGGACGAGUUGGACGACGGUUUCCUGAACUGAAUCCUGAUUUCCUGUAAUCGAGUUUUGUGGACUGACAGUUUGCAUGGUUGGUGCUCGGCCCAGGACAGGAGAGACACCUGGUCCAACAAGGUGAUGGACGGUUGUAAGGAGGAAUCACCAAGAAAAACAAGACAAGCCAAACAAUGGAGAUGAGCUGCCACAGGAGCCUGAAGGGAAAGUAACGAGAGCAGCCAGGAGCUGAAAGUGUGGGCAGAGGAACGGGCUGCUGAAGACAAGUUGGACCACAGUUUCCUGAACUGAAUCCUAAUUUCCUGUAAUCAAGUUUUGUGGAUUGACAUGUUGUCUGGUUGGUGCUCGGCCCAGGACAGUAAAGCUCUGCGGCAGGUGAUCCAUCCAUUCACAGAGCAUCACUGACAAUGGAGAGGUGAGGUGUCUGCUCAGAGCUCAAAGAAUACUGAAAAAGACUAAAAUAACCAGAAGUAAAUGCUGAAUGCUGAUGCUUUUGUCCUCAGACUGAGACUCCUGAGCAUUCUCAACAAUAUAGACUGCUUUGGUUUCUGUCCUUCUGUGAUGAAGCAUUAAAUGAGUCAAACUGA